RNAcentral lists this ribosomal RNA (494 nucleotides) under uncultured bacterium. Its description in RNAcentral is "partial 16S ribosomal RNA". It matches the Rfam family "Bacterial small subunit ribosomal RNA", at positions 28 to 507 of the family's 1533-position model. The record is from RNAcentral.
GACGAACGCUGGCGGCGUGCUUAACACAUGCAGGUCGAACGGAAAGGCCUGCUUUCCCUUGUGGAUUGCGGGUACUCGAGUGGCGAACGGGUGAGUAACACGUGAGUGAUCUGCCCCCAACUUGGGUAUAAGCCUGGGAAACUGGUUCUAAUUCCCGAUAGGACUGCAGGGUGGUGCCUGUGGUGGAAAACGAUUUUCUAGUGGUUGGGGAUGAGCUCGCGGCCUAUCAGCUUGUUGGUGGGGUAAUGGCCUACCAAGGCGGCGACGGGUAGCCGGCCUGAGAGGGUGGACGGCCACAUUGGGACUGAGAUACGGCCCAGACUCCUACGGGGGGCAGCAGUGGGGAAUAUUGCACAAUGGGCGGAAGCCUGAUGCAGCGACGCCGCGUGGGGGAUGACGGCCUUCGGGUUGUAAACUCCUUUCGACCGCGAGGAAGCCACCUGGUUGGAAGGGUGGUGACGGUAGUGGUAGAAGAAGCACCGGCUAACUACGUG